This 507-nucleotide ribosomal RNA is filed under the name Listeria monocytogenes. RNAcentral's name for it is "bacterial SSU rRNA". It matches the Rfam family "Bacterial small subunit ribosomal RNA", at positions 8 to 497 of the family's 1533-position model. The record is from RNAcentral. Lineage: Bacteria; Bacillati; Bacillota; Bacilli; Caryophanales; Listeriaceae.
AGAGUUUGAUCCUGGCUCAGGACGAACGCUGGCGGCGUGCCUAAUACAUGCAAGUCGAACGAACGGAGGAAGAGCUUGCUCUUCCAAAGUUAGUGGCGGACGGGUGAGUAACACGUGGGCAACCUGCCUGUAAGUUGGGGAUAACUCCGGGAAACCGGGGCUAAUACCGAAUGAUAAAGUGUGGCGCAUGCCACGCUUUUGAAAGAUGGUUUCGGCUAUCGCUUACAGAUGGGCCCGCGGUGCAUUAGCUAGUUGGUAGGGUAAUGGCCUACCAAGGCAACGAUGCAUAGCCGACCUGAGAGGGUGAUCGGCCACACUGGGACUGAGACACGGCCCAGACUCCUACGGGAGGCAGCAGUAGGGAAUCUUCCGCAAUGGACGAAAGUCUGACGGAGCAACGCCGCGUGUAUGAAGAAGGUUUUCGGAUCGUAAAGUACUGUUGUUAGAGAAGAACAAGGAUAAGAGUAACUGCUUGUCCCUGACGGUAUCUACCAGAGUACGCAUGCC